This 468-nucleotide ribosomal RNA is filed under the name uncultured bacterium. RNAcentral's name for it is "partial 16S ribosomal RNA". It matches the Rfam family "Bacterial small subunit ribosomal RNA", at positions 28 to 507 of the family's 1533-position model. The record is from RNAcentral.
GACGAACGCUGGCGGCGUGCUUAACACAUGCAAGUCGAACGGAAAGGCCCUGCUUUUGUGGGUUGCUCGAUUGGCAAACGGGUGGGUAACACGUGAGUAACCUGCCCUGGACUUUGGGAUAACUUCAGGAAACUGGGGCUAAUACCGGAUAGAAGCUCCUGCUGCAUGGUGGGGGUUGGAAAGUUUCGGCGGUUGGGGUUGGACUCGCGGCUUAUCAGCUUGUUGGUGGGGUAGUGGCUUACCAAGGCUUUGACGGGUAGCCGGCCUGAGAGGGUGACCGGCCACAUUGGGACUGAGAUACGGCCCAGACUCCUACGGGAGGCAGCAGUGGGGAAUAUUGCACAAUGGGCGGAAGCCUGAUGCAGCAACGCCGCGUGCGGGAUGACGGCCUUCGGGUUGUAAACCGCUUUCGCCUGUGACGAAGCGUGAGUGACGGUAAUGGGUAAAGAAGCACCGGCUAACUACGUG